GACGAACGCUGGCGGCGUGCUUAACACAUGCAAGUCGACCGGACAGGCCCUGCUUUUGUGGGGUGCUCGAGUGGCGAACGGGUGAGUAACACGUGAGUAACCUGCCCUUGACUUUGGGAUAACUUCAGGAAACUGGGGCUAAUACCGGAUAGGAGCUCCUGCUGCCUGGUGGGGGUUGGAAAGUUUCGGCGGUUGGGGAUGGACUCGCGGCUUAUCAGCUUGUUGGUGGGGUAGUGGCUUACCAAGGCUUUGACGGGUAGCCGGCCUGAGAGGGUGACCGGCCACAUUGGGACUGAGAUACGGCCCAGACUCCUACGGGAGGCAGCAGUGGGGAAUAAUGCACAAUGGGCGGAAGCCUGAUGCAGCAACGCCGCGUGCGGGAGGACGGCCUUCGGGUUGUAAACCGAUUUCGCCUGUGACGAAGCGUGAGUGACGGUAAUGUGUAAAGAAGCACCGGCUAACUACGUG
Molecule: ribosomal RNA, 468 nt
Filed under: uncultured bacterium
Lineage: Bacteria
Description: partial 16S ribosomal RNA
Rfam family: Bacterial small subunit ribosomal RNA
Source: RNAcentral